RNAcentral lists this ribosomal RNA (468 nucleotides) under uncultured bacterium. RNAcentral describes it as "partial 16S ribosomal RNA". It matches the Rfam family "Bacterial small subunit ribosomal RNA", at positions 28 to 507 of the family's 1533-position model. The record is from RNAcentral.
GACGAACGCUGGCGGCGUGCUUAACACAUGCAAGUCGAACGGAAAGGCCCUGCUUUUGUGGGGUGCUCGAGUGGCGAACGGGUGAGUAACACGUGAGUAACCUACCCUUGACUUUGGGAUAACUUCAGGAAACUGGGGCUAAUACCGGAUAGGAGCUCCUGCUGCAUGGUGGGGGUUGGAAAGUUUCGGCGGUUGGGGAUGGACUCGCGGCUUAUCAGCUUGUUGGUGGGGUAGUGGCUUACCGAGGCUUUGACGGGUAGCCGGCCUGAGAGGGUGACCGGCGACAUUGGGACUGAGAUACGGCCCAGACUCGUACGGGGGGCAGCGGGGGGGAGUAUUGCGCAAUGGGCGGGAGCGUGAUGCGGCAACGCCGCGUGCGGGAUGACGGCCUUCGGGUUGUAAACCGCUUUCGCCUGUGACGAAGCGUGAGUGACGGUAAUGGGUAAAGAAGCACCGGCUAACUACGUG